This 227-nucleotide long non-coding RNA is filed under the name Elaeis guineensis (African oil palm). Its description in RNAcentral is "long non-coding RNA (EGUI_LNC043278)". Lineage: Eukaryota; Viridiplantae; Streptophyta; Magnoliopsida; Arecales; Arecaceae. The record is from RNAcentral.
GUCCUGUAGCUACUUCUGAAGGUCGAAGAAUUUUUUUGACUAGUCCCGACCGUAGUCAGCCUGAGUUGGAAGCCAGGAUGAGCUCCCUUCCAAUUGGUCGAUCUUCUCCCAUGCGACCGCCAACUCGACCUCGAGGGAGCUGAUCUUGGAGGCCUGAGUCCAAGAUCGAUCGUUGGCACAUUUUUGAAGUUCCUCAAGCUUCUUCUCGAAGUUGGCCUUCUUCCGGC